This 77-nucleotide microRNA precursor is filed under the name Cricetulus griseus (Chinese hamster). Lineage: Eukaryota; Metazoa; Chordata; Mammalia; Rodentia; Cricetidae. The record is from RNAcentral.
GAUACUGAGGGUUAGUGGACCAGGUCACAAACGGCACAAAUACAGCGUGUGCUCUCUGGUCAACCACCUCACGUACC